RNAcentral lists this long non-coding RNA (2197 nucleotides) under Homo sapiens (human). RNAcentral's name for it is "HSALNT0397682". Lineage: Eukaryota; Metazoa; Chordata; Mammalia; Primates; Hominidae. The record is from RNAcentral.
GCGCGGUGGCUCAAGCCUGUAAUCCCAGCACUUUGGGAGGCUGAGGCGGGAGAAUCUCUUGAAACCGGGAAGCGGAGGUUGCAGUGAGCUGAUAUCACACCACUGCACUCCAGCCUGGGAGGUUGCAGUGAGCUGAGAUCGUGCCCCUGCACUCCAGCCUGGGCGACAGAGUGAGACUUCGUCUCAAAAAAAAAAAUUUUAAAAAAGAGCAGCUUCUACUGCAGCCUCCUCUUACCCUAUUGCCUUCUCUUGCUCUGGUCUCCACUCAAAGCAUGCAGCCUUCUGGGUGAUUUUGCAGAUGGGUCAAAACAGCAUACUCAAUGUUGCCUCCCAAAUAAAAAAACCUACCGACCAUUGUACUUCUUUCUUUGUGGUAGGUACUGCAACUUGCAGCAACUUGUCUUUCACCUUAGAAAAGAUAUCUUUCUUGGCCGGGCGCAGUGGCUCACGCCUGUAAUCCCAGCACUUUGGGAGGCCGAGGCGGCGGAUCACCUGAGGUCGGGAGUUCGAGACCAGCCUGACCAACAUGGAGAAACCCCAGUCUCUACUAAAAAUACAAAAUUAGCAAGGCGUGGUGGCGCAUGCCUGGAAUCCCAGCUACUCAGCCGGCUGAGGCAGGAGAAUCGCUUGAACCUGGGAGGUGGAGGUUGCGGUGAGCCGAGAUGGUGCCAUUGCAUUCCAGCCUGGGCAACAAGAGUGAAAUUCCGUCUCAAAAAAAAAAGAAGAAGAAAAGAAAAAAUAUCUUUCUUUCUUGCUGGGUGUGGUGGCUCAUGCCCGAAAUCCCAGCACUUUGGGAUGCCCAGGCAGGCGGAUUGCCUGAGCUCAGGAGUUCGAGACCAGCCUGGGCAACAAAGUGAAACCCCUUCUCUACUAAAAUACAAAAAAUUAGCUGGGUGUGCUGCUGUGCGCCUGUAGUCCCAGCUACUUGGGAGGCUGAGGCAGAAUUGCUUGAACCCCAGAGAUGGAGGUUGCAGUAAGCCGAGAUCAUGCCACUGCACUCUAGCCUGGGUGACAGAGCGACACUCCAUCUCCAAAAAAAAAAAAAAAAAAAAAGUAGAAAAGAUAUCUUUAUUUCCCUCCCUCCCUCCUUUCCCUCUUUCCUUCCUUUUUGAGACAGGGUCUCACUUUGUCACCCAGACUGAAGCGCAGUGAUAAAAUCACAGCUCAGCAGCUUCAACAUCCUGGGCUCAAGUGAUCCUCCAAUCUCAACCUCCUGAAUAGCUGGGACAACAGUUGUGGACCACCAUGCCCGGCUAAUUUUAUAGAGAUGAGGUCCUACUCUAUUGUCCAGGCUGGUCUCUAACUCCUGGGCUCAAACAAUCCUCCCGCCUGAGCCUCUGAAGGGCUGAGAUUAUAGGCAUGAGCCACUGUGCCUGGCCUGAAGAUAAUUUUAGAUCCUUAUCAGACUGGAGAUGGUACCAGAGGAAUCUACAUUAACGAGUUUUCUUUUUUUUUUGUUGAGACAGAGUCUCACUCCGUUGCCCAGGCUGGAGUGCAGUGGUGUAAUCUCGGCUCACUGCAACCUUCGCCUCCCGGGUUCAAGCGAUUCUCCUCCUUCAGCCUCGUGAGUAGCUGGGAUUACAGGCGCCACCACCGUGCUCAGCUUUUUUUGUUUUGCUUUGUUUUUUUUGUAUUUUUAGUAGGGACGGGUUUCACCAUGUUGGCCAGGCUGGUCUUGAACUCCUGACCACAGAUGAUUUGCCUGCCUCGGCCUCCCAAAGUGCUGGGAUUACAGGCGUGAGCCGCCAUGCCGGGCCAACAAGUUUUCAAACUAGGCUUCCUCUGCUUUUAUUUGGCUUCUCACAAGUUACUACCCCUUUUCCUUUGUUCUAUAAUUUCUCUAAAAAUUUUAUGCUUUUUGUUGAAGACGCUGUAUAAGCUGGAAUUCGAAGCCACCUCUUUGAGAACUACUCAUUCCCUGGGUGUCUCCCAUGUGUAUAAGAAAUAUACAUGUUAAUAAGCUUCUGUUUGUUUUUCUCUUAUUAUCUUUUGUUACAGGGGUACAUUCCAACUAGGAACUUAUGAGGAUUAAAGAAAAAAUAUUUUUCAGGCCAGGCACCAUGGCUCAUGCCUGUAAUCCCAGCACUUUGGGAGGCCGAGGCAGGUGGAUUACCUGGGGUCAGGAGUUCAAGACCAGCCUGGAUAACAUGGCGAAAUCCCGUCUCUACUAAAAAUACAAAAAUUAGCUGGGUGUGGU